AUGGGAUUGAGAUCCGACGGUGCACAGCAAACGCUCUGUGCUGUGCUGCUGCGUCCGUCUCUGCUAUACCAUUACACUUCUCUCUCUCUCUCUCUCUCUCUGUCCGCCGGAAUGGCAACGGCGGCAGCGGCGGCGGUGCGGCGCAGCCUCGGCGCCGCAGGCCCGGACCUCUCCGUCGCCCACCUCUGCUGCCCCUCGACCCCCACCACCUACAACGCAGCCCACCUCCCACCCACGCCUGCCACCCUCCUCGCGCUCCUCCGCCGCGCGCCAGCCUCGCAUCCCCACGCCGCCGCGCACGUGCACGCCUGCCUCCUCAAGACGGCCUACUUCCGCCCGGGGGGCUGCACCGUCCCCAACUCGCUGCUCGCCUCCUACGCAACGUCCGGCGACUCCCUUGCCGCGGCGAAGCUGUUCGACGAAAUGCCCCUCCGGGACGUCGCGUCCUGGACCUCCAUGAUGCGGGCGCACCUCGCGGGGGGCUCGGCUUCCCAGGCCCUGUGCAUGUUCAGGGACAUGUUAACUGCCGGUGGCAGCGUGCCUGAGCCGGACGGGGUCGUCCUUGUCGUCGCCCUCCGUGCGUGCGCCGAGCUCGAGGACCUGGCACUUGGAGCCUCCCUGCACGCUGUCACGGAGCGCCGUGGGCUGCGGGGCGCCGAUGUCUUCAUCGACAACUCGCUCGUCGACAUGUACGCAAGGUGCCUCGACCUAUGGUCCGCCAGGAAGGUGUUUGACACGAUCCCGUGCAGGAACGUGGUGUCCUGGAACACCAUGCUCUCUGGACUCGCGCGCGCCGGCCGCGCGGCCGACGCGCUGGACCUUCUCGCCUCCUUGUCAUUGCUGAAAGAGGGUGACAUCGGCUUCGACGAGACGACGCUGGUGGUGCUGCUUCAGCUGUGCAAGAGGCUUGAGGGCGGCCAGGCCAUGUGGUGCCGGUCUGUCCAUGCCGUGGCCAUCAGGAGGGGGCUCCUAUUGUCCUCGACAGGCUUGCCUCUGUUGAACGCCCUGCUGGAUGCCUACGCCAAGUGCGGCCUGCUCGAGCACACGCUCAGGCUGUUCCGUGGCAUGCCCGAGAGGAACAUCGUCACGUGGAGCACCGUCAUUGCUGGAUGCACCCACAACGGCCGACCGGGCGAUGCGAUCGCGUGCGCCGUCGCAAUGAGGGAGGCCGGGGAAAUUCCCAACUCGGUCACCAUACUGAGCGUCCUCGAGGCAUGCGCAGACUGUGCGGAGAUGGCAGCGUCGAGAUGCGCCCACGGCAUGGCGCUCAGGAGUGGGCUAGCCUUGGAGCGGGACGUCAGCAACGCUCUGGUGGACAUGUAUGGAAAAUGCGGCAACCUGGCUGCGGCGAUGAGGGUGUUCAAUGCGAUGCCUCGAAGGGACGUGCUCACCUGGAACUCCAUGAUCAGCGCGCUGGGGAUGAAUGGCCGCACACGUGAUGCCCUCGCCCUCGUCGACAGGAUGGAGCAGGAAGGGGACAUCACGCCGAAUGGUGUCACGAUGCUGGCCGUGCUGUCGGCAUGCGCGCACGGAGGUCUGGUGGAGGAGGGUGUGGCCUGCUUCGAGAGGAUGACGGCGACACACUCGGUUGAGCCACAGGUGGAGCACCUAUCGUGCAUCGUCGACAUGCUCGCACGUGCAGGGGACCUUGAGGGGGCCGCUAGGGUCAUUGAGGAGAGGAUAUCCACCACCAGCAGUCCAGCAGCCUGGAGCGCGCUGCUAAGCGCCUGCAGAGGCCACAGCAGCGACUCGAAGGUCGGCCGUAAUGCUGCCUGCCGUGUCCUGGAGUUGGAGCCGGGCAAUGCGGCGGGGUACCUGAUGUCGAUGGGCGUGCCCAGCGCUGGCGAGACGGCAGCGCGGUUGCGGCAGCUGAUGAGGGAGAGGGGAGUAGGGGUGACUGGCGGACACAGCAUGGUGCAGGUGGGGCGCGAUGCUCACAGCUUCAUGUCGUGGGACGGAUGCCACCCUGACAGAGCGCAGGUUUACUCCAUGCUACAUCUCCUGCAUCAACAGAUGCUGCCGCCUACUCCUCCACAUCCAAAUCACCAUCAUCUUACCUUAUUAUCAUGUACACCAGUGUCA
Molecule: ribosomal RNA, 2082 nt
Filed under: Triticum aestivum (bread wheat)
Lineage: Eukaryota; Viridiplantae; Streptophyta; Magnoliopsida; Poales; Poaceae
Description: partial small subunit ribosomal RNA
Source: RNAcentral